GUGGGGAAUCUUGCGCAAUGGGCGAAAGCCUGACGCAGCCAUGCCGCGUGAAUGAUGAAGGUCUUAGGAUUGUAAAAUUCUUUCACCGGGGACGAUAAUGACGGUACCCGGAGAAGAAGCUCCGGCUAACUUCGUGCCAGCAGCCGCGGUAAUACGAAGGGGGCUAGCGUUCCUCGGAAUUACUGGGCGUAAAGGGCGCGUAGGCGGACAGCUUAGUCAGAGGUGAAAGCCCAGGGCUCAACCUUGGAAUUGCCUUUGAUACUGGCUGUGUUGAGUUUGGGAGAGGUGAGUGGAACUCCGAGUGUAGAGGUGAAAUGCGUAGAUAUUCGGAAGAACACCAGUGGCGAAGGCGACUCACUGGCCCAAUACUGACGCUGAGGCGCGAAAGCGUGGGGAGCAAACAGGAUUAGAAACCCUAGUAGUCC
This 425-nucleotide ribosomal RNA is filed under the name uncultured bacterium. RNAcentral's name for it is "partial 16S ribosomal RNA". It matches the Rfam family "Bacterial small subunit ribosomal RNA", at positions 354 to 796 of the family's 1533-position model. The record is from RNAcentral.